This 239-nucleotide unclassified non-coding RNA is filed under the name Helotiales sp. Its description in RNAcentral is "partial contains 5.8S ribosomal RNA, internal transcribed spacer 2, and large subunit ribosomal RNA". Lineage: Eukaryota; Fungi; Ascomycota; Leotiomycetes; Helotiales. The record is from RNAcentral.
CGCACAUUGCGCCCUCUGGUAUUCCGGGGGGCAUGCCUGUUCGAGCGUCAUUACAACCCUCAAGCUCUGCUUGGUAUUGGGUGCUACCGACAGCGGUACGCCUCAAAAUCAGUGGCGGCGCCAUCCGGCUUCAAGCGUAGUAAUACUCCUCGCUUCUGGAGCUCGGGUGUGCUCUUGCCAGCAACCUCAAUUUAUCAAAGGUUGACCUCGGAUCAGGUAGGGAUACCCGCUGAACUUAA